RNAcentral lists this ribosomal RNA (366 nucleotides) under uncultured organism. Its description in RNAcentral is "bacterial SSU rRNA". It matches the Rfam family "Bacterial small subunit ribosomal RNA", at positions 526 to 896 of the family's 1533-position model. The record is from RNAcentral.
CGGAGGAUCCAAGCGUUAUCCGGAAUCAUUGGGUUUAAAGGGUCUGUAGGCGGUCUUGUAAGUCAGUGGUGAAAGCCCAUCGCUCAACGGUGGAACGGCCAUUGAUACUGCUGGACUUGAAUUAUUGGGAAGCAACUAGAAUAUGUAGUGUAGCGGUGAAAUGCUUAGAGAUUACAUGGAAUACCAAUUGCGAAGGCAGGUUGCUACCAAUGGAUUGACGCUGAUGGACGAAAGCGUGGGUAGCGAACAGGAUUAGAUACCCUGGUAGUCCACGCCGUAAACGAUGGAUACUAGCUGUUGGGCGCAAGUUCAGUGGCUAAGCGAAAGUGAUAAGUAUCCCACCUGGGGAGUACGAACGCAAGUUUG